GCAAACUUGGUCAUUUAGAGGAAGUAAAAGUCGUAACAAGGUCUCCGUAGGUGAACCUGCGGAGGGAUCAUUACUGAGUUUUUAACUCCCAAACCAUUGUGAACUUACCACUGUUGCCUCGGCGGCAGGUCUUUCUUUACGGGAAGGCAGCCGCCGGUGGACUACUAAACUCUUGUUAAUUUUUGUCAAUUCUGAAUUAAAAACUUAAUAAGUUAAAACUUUCAACAACGGAUCUCUUGGUUCUGGCAUCGAUGAAGAACGCAGC
Molecule: unclassified non-coding RNA, 265 nt
Filed under: uncultured fungus
Lineage: Eukaryota; Fungi
Description: partial contains small subunit ribosomal RNA, internal transcribed spacer 1, and 5.8S ribosomal RNA
Rfam family: Eukaryotic small subunit ribosomal RNA (bases 1-73)
Source: RNAcentral